CAAGCCAGAGAAGCAGCAGGGGGGGAAAAGAGCAGACAAACUGUUAGCUUAUCAUAUUUUACUCUGUUUCAGCCCUGUGGUUGAACAGAUGUUCGUCCGCUGGCCACCAGAUUGCAAUCUUACAGUUCAGUGGCCAAUCGGAGCUCAUUUGCUCUUUGUAGCACAGAUGGUAUUUCACCGUCGGUGAGGACAAAUAUCAGUGAAUGCAGUUUGCAGGUAGAAACAAAUAAAAGUCAAGUCAGGAUGCCCCAGUUAACGUGAUCUAUGGCUGCCGGCAUUCUGCAGAUGUGAGGAUUCCUGAGAGCAGGAGGCUCCGGCUCGACAGCCUCAUUCAUUCGAUCCGACAGAAAUUCCUCCCCGUCCUCAGUCUGCAAAUGGAUGGAAAUGAGAGCGAGGGCGAGAACACAGGUGAACGGUCGCAACGUGAUCCCGUCCUCCAGGGUUUGCUCCGCCACCUCUGACCGGCCUGAAUUAUUUAUCCAGUACACGCCAGACCGCUGGAGAGUGUGCCAGGGUCGUCAAGGCAACCGCUGCCGUUUUUUUUUUUUCCUGCCCACACCGAUAAACUACAAACCCACACA
Long non-coding RNA from Poecilia latipinna (sailfin molly), 581 nucleotides. RefSeq lists it as uncharacterized. Lineage: Eukaryota; Metazoa; Chordata; Actinopteri; Cyprinodontiformes; Poeciliidae. The record is from RefSeq and is a predicted model, not a curated record. The transcript has 3 exons.